GUCUGCGUGGAGCCGACCUUGAAAUACCACCCUUUAAUGUUUGAUGUUCUAACGUGGACCCGUAAUCCGGGUUGCGGACAGUGUCUGGUGGGUAGUUUGACUGGGGCGGUCUCCUCCUAAAGAGUAACGGAGGAGCACGAAGGUUGGCUAAUCCUGGUCGGACAUCAGGAGGUUAGUGCAAUGGCAUAAGCCAGCUUGACUGCGAGCGUGACGGCGCGAGCAGGUGCGAAAGCAGGUCAUAGUGAUCCGGUGGUUCUGAAUGGAAGGGCCAUCGCUCAACGGAUAAAAGGUACUCCGGGGAUAACAGGCUGAUACCGCCCAAGAGUUCAUAUCGACGGCGGUGUUUGGCACCUCGAUGUCGGCUCAUCACAUCCUGGGGCUGAAGUAGGUCCCAAGGGUAUGGCUGUUCGCCAUUUAAAGUGGUACGCGAGCUGGGUUUAGAACGUCGUGAGACAGUUCGGUCCCUAUCUGCCGUGGGCGCUGGAGAACUGAGGGGGGCUGCUCCUAGUACGAGAGGACCGGAGUGGACGCAUCACUGGUGUUCGGGUUGUCAUGCCAAUGGCACUGCCCGGUAGCUAAAUGCGGAAGAGAUAAGUGCUGAAAGCAUCUAAGCACGAAACUUGCCCCGAGAUGAGUUCUCCCUGAGACUUAGAGUCUCCUGAAGGAACGUUGAAGACGACGACGUUGAUAGGCCGGGUGUGUAAGCGCAGCGAUGCGUUGAGCUAACCGGUACUAAUGAACCGUGAGGCUUAACCUUACAACGCCGAAG
This 769-nucleotide ribosomal RNA is filed under the name Salmonella enterica subsp. enterica serovar Infantis. RNAcentral's name for it is "partial 23S ribosomal RNA". It matches the Rfam family "Bacterial large subunit ribosomal RNA", at positions 2174 to 2925 of the family's 2925-position model. Lineage: Bacteria; Pseudomonadati; Pseudomonadota; Gammaproteobacteria; Enterobacterales; Enterobacteriaceae. RNAcentral also lists the same sequence under 3 other names. The record is from RNAcentral.